GUGAGGAAUAUUGGUCAAUGGGCGUAAGCCUGAACCAGCCAAGUAGCGUGAAGGAUGACUGCCCUAUGGGUUGUAAACUUCUUUUAUAUGGGAAUAAAAUGCUCCACGUGUGGAAUAUUGCAUGUACCAUAUGAAUAAGGAUCGGCUAACUCCGUGCCAGCAGCCGCGGUAAUACGGAGGAUCCGAGCGUUAUCCGGAUUUAUUGGGUUUAAAGGGAGCGUAGGUGGACAGUUAAGUCAGUUGUGAAAGUUUGCGGCUCAACCGUAAAAUUGCAGUUGAUACUGGCAGUCUUGAGUACAGUAGAGGUGGGCGGAAUUCGUGGUGUAGCGGUGAAAUGCUUAGAUAUCACGAAGAACUCCGAUUGCGAAGGCAGCUCACUAGACUGGUCACUGACACUGAGGCUCGAAAGUGUGGGUAUCAAACAGGAUUAGAAACCCCUGUAGUCC
RNAcentral lists this ribosomal RNA (446 nucleotides) under uncultured bacterium. RNAcentral's name for it is "bacterial SSU rRNA". It matches the Rfam family "Bacterial small subunit ribosomal RNA", at positions 354 to 796 of the family's 1533-position model. The record is from RNAcentral.